CCUGGUGGCUCAGAGGUUAAAGCAUCUGCCUGGAAUGCUGGAGACCUGGGUUCAAUCCCUGGGUCAGGA
This 69-nucleotide transfer RNA is filed under the name Capra hircus (goat). It matches the Rfam family "tRNA". From Rfam's summary of the family: Transfer RNA (tRNA) molecules are approximately 80 nucleotides in length. Their secondary structure includes four short double-helical elements and three loops (D, anti-codon, and T loops). RNAcentral also lists the same sequence under 1 other name. Lineage: Eukaryota; Metazoa; Chordata; Mammalia; Artiodactyla; Bovidae. The record is from Rfam by way of RNAcentral.